CGGACGGGUGAGUAACGCGUGGAAAACCUGCCGUAUACUGGGGGAUAACACUUAGAAAUAGGUGCUAAUACCGCAUAAGCGCACAGCUUCGCAUGAAGCGGUGUAGAAAAACUCUGGUGGUAUACGAUGGUUCCGCGUCUGAUUAGCUAGUUGGGUGGGGUAAUGGCCUACCAAGGCAACGAUCAGUAGCCGGCCUGAGAGGGUGAACGGCCACAUUGGGACUGAGACACGGCCCAAACUCCUACGGGAGGCAGCAG
RNAcentral lists this ribosomal RNA (257 nucleotides) under uncultured bacterium. RNAcentral's name for it is "partial 16S ribosomal RNA". It matches the Rfam family "Bacterial small subunit ribosomal RNA", at positions 99 to 354 of the family's 1533-position model. The record is from RNAcentral.